GCAGAGGCAGGAGAUGGCUGUAGCCGCGCUCCAGAGGGUCACUGACCAGAUGAACAAGGCCCAGGACAGGGCUCACAGCCUGGAGGGAGUGAUAGGACAGGAGGCCCCUGAAGAGCCAGCUGCUGCAGCACCAACACACUGAGGCUGAGCUCCAUCUCAACAUCAGCCUUCUAGAGCACAACCUGCACACCUGCAGGACACAUGGAAGACAGAAUCAGGAAGACACCAAGAAACAGCAGGAGAUUGUCAAAGGACGGCAACAGGACUCCAUAGAGAUGCUGUUGUCCCUGGUUUAUCCUGCUGUCUCCGUUCCUGGUAGUCACUUGGCAGCCAUUUUGACGUUGUUAUUGGACGAUAUCCCCACAAGAAGGAAACAGCUGUGGGACCUUUACCAAGUACUACAAGAACGCACAGAGAAGUGUCUCUAUGACAUUACCUCAGCAUUGCUAUAGGCCCAUAUGACAAAACCUGGGAACUGGAAAAAACUCUGAAGAACUUGCUCUCAGGGUUUUGGGAAAUAUGUUUAUUGCAUUUUACUUUUAAAUGUUUUCUGUAUAGCUCAGUCAACAUUAUAGCGAAGGAUAUUUAUCAUCCAUUGAAAAUGUAAUCUUGAAGUAAAUUUGUAUUUAUAAUGCAUUUUAUGGUUACUGCAUCAUGUUCAUGCAUACGCGUUUCAUCCUUUUAUAAUAAUCAAAUACAUAUGGUGUCAGUAUAUUUGACACACAACCACUGUAAUAACUAGACAGUAAAACUGACAUAAAAUACCAGUGAAUAAAACACUUGCAGGUAUAACUUUGUCAAUUUGAAUUAAACCCUUUUUCAUUACUGAAUACA
Oncorhynchus kisutch (coho salmon) is the source of this 834-nucleotide long non-coding RNA. RefSeq lists it as uncharacterized. Lineage: Eukaryota; Metazoa; Chordata; Actinopteri; Salmoniformes; Salmonidae. The transcript has 3 exons. The record is from RefSeq and is a predicted model, not a curated record.